GGCAGUCGCGGUAAUUCCAGCUCCAAUAGCGUAUAUUAAAGUUGUUGCAGUUAAAAAGCUCGUAGUUGAAUUUCGGGAUCAAUAUGUUGGUCGUGCCUUGGUACGUACUGGCGUCAUUGGUUUCUACCUUCUGAAGAACCUCGAUGUCAUUAAUUUGGUGUUUUGGGGAAUCAGGACUGUUACUUUGAAAAAAUUAGAGUGUUUAAAGCAAGCUCACGCUUGAAUACAUUAGCAUGGAAUAAUGAAAUAGGACGUUUGAUUCUAUUUUGUUGGUUUCUAGGAUCGACGUAAUGAUUAAUAGGGAUAGUUGGGGGCAUUAGUAUUCAAUUGUCAGAGGUGAAAUUCUUGGAUUUAUUGAAGACUAACUACUGCGAAAGCAUUUGCCAAGGAUGUUUUCAUUAAUCAAGAACGAAAGUUAGGGGAUCGAAGACGAUCAGAUACCGUCGUAGUCUUAACCAUAAACUAUGCCGACUAGGGAUCGGAUGAUGUUAAUUUUUUAAUGACUCAUUCGGCGCCUUAC
This 520-nucleotide unclassified non-coding RNA is filed under the name uncultured Glomus. RNAcentral describes it as "SSU rRNA". It matches the Rfam family "Eukaryotic small subunit ribosomal RNA", at positions 569 to 1091 of the family's 1831-position model. The record is from RNAcentral. Lineage: Eukaryota; Fungi; Glomeromycota; Glomeromycetes; Glomerales; Glomeraceae.